This 444-nucleotide ribosomal RNA is filed under the name uncultured bacterium. Its description in RNAcentral is "bacterial SSU rRNA". It matches the Rfam family "Bacterial small subunit ribosomal RNA", at positions 28 to 507 of the family's 1533-position model. The record is from RNAcentral.
GACGAACGCUGGCGGCAGGCCUAACACAUGCAAGUCGAACGUGAAGCUGGAGCUUGCUCCAGUGGAAAGUGGCAGACGGGUGAGUAACGCGUGGGAAUUUACCCAGUGGUACGGAAUAACUCAGGGAAACUUGUGCUAAUACCGUAUAAGCCCUUCGGGGGAAAGAUUUAUCGCCAUUGGAUGAGCCCGCGUUAGAUUAGUUUGUUGGUGGGUAAUGGCCUACCAAGACUACGAUCUAUAGCUGGUCUGAGAGGAUGAUCAGCCACACUGGGACUGAGACACGGCCCAGACUCCUACGGGAGGCAGCAGUGGGGAAUAUUGCACAAUGGGCGCAAGCCUGAUGCAGCCAUGCCGCGUGAGUGAAGAAGGCCUUAGGGUUGUAAAACUCUUUCACCGGUGAAGAUAAUGACGGUAGCCGGUAAAGAAGCCCCGGCUAACUCCGUG